RNAcentral lists this long non-coding RNA (594 nucleotides) under Chloebia gouldiae (Gouldian finch). RNAcentral describes it as "Erythrura gouldiae (Gouldian finch) lncRNA (ENSEGOG00005007735.1)". Lineage: Eukaryota; Metazoa; Chordata; Aves; Passeriformes; Passeridae. The record is from RNAcentral.
GCCAUGGCGGGCCCGGCCCGGGCGUCCCGGUGGAGCCCGGGCCUGGUGUCGGGGAGCCAGCGGGGCCCCGGGCGGGAGCCCGCUGGGGGUUGAGCGCCGCCAGGGGUGAAUGUGCCGCUCCUUUGUUCCGGGCUUUUCUGCUCCCACCCUUCAGUCCCCUGCCAGCGCAUCCAGGCACAUCCAGGACCGGCUUUGUCGGAAUUCCAGGUGCUGAGGUCGUGUGGCUGUGGUGAACUGCUCUGGAUUGAUGGAUUACCCAGUUUUUGCUGCUGGUAGAAGCAGUGUCACCUGCUGAGAGAGGGGAGCUGGAGGUGAGCAGCCCGAGGCAGGAGUGGGCUGUGAGUCAGCAGGUGCCCGUGUCCAGCAGCAAACAUGAGUCAGCACCUGCAGCUCCUGGAGGCUGCUCCUCUGCACCAGUGACCUCCCCUGACCAGGGCUGCAGGCUGCCUCCAGCACUGCUGCUGCCCUUCUGAAAACAGAGCAGAGGGAAUGGUUGUAAGCUUAUAGAAAAAAAAUUGUAUUCUUUGUUGUGGAGGUUUAGUGAAGCAUCUUUUGGGAUAAAGACGUGGUAAAUAAAGGUGUUGGUCUCGCACU